This 1077-nucleotide long non-coding RNA is filed under the name Marmota monax (woodchuck). The record is from RNAcentral. Lineage: Eukaryota; Metazoa; Chordata; Mammalia; Rodentia; Sciuridae.
UUUGCUGCCAAAAAAAAAAAAGUCAUUGAUGUUCCCAUACCAGUAUCAUGUGAAUUGUUGGGAAAGAGCGCAGCUUUCUAAUCUGACAGCAGAGUAAAAUAGCCUUAGCUUAUCUGCAUAGUAAUGAAAACUCAGGCUAUACACUUCAGGAACCAUCUCUUAGUUCAUCACUCAAGCAACGAAAAACAGAAUAAUUUCAGCGUCAAUUUAAGGCUUCGAAUAAUCUUCUGAUCAGGACCAAAGCCAUAUUCAGCAACCUAACAAUAGAGGCUGAACUGAGCCAAGAGCCAAGAUUGAUGGGCUCCUGAGCGGGCAGGAUGGCAGCAAAGCUCAGCAUGCAGAAGACCCUGAGUCAGCUGCCCUCAUCCUUCACCUGUCUCUUUCAAAGAAAUGACAGCCUGAGUACUGGGCCACGCUCAGAGACUUGAUUGAAAUUUCUCAGAUAAAUCAAAAUGAACAAGACAUGUUUGCACUUGAAUUGAAAUGGGGUUUCCUAGCACCUCAAGUAGAGCACAGGAAUAUGAAGCCAAACCAAAACGCAAUUUAUUUUCUAGUGGUGCUGAUAUGUCUUAACAUGUUCUGUGGUCCACAGGCAGCCUGUCUUCCUCAGUAUGUCUUUUGCCAUCCGGGGAUCUCUCCCAGCCCCACAGUUUCUUGUCCCUUCUCUUCCCUUACCUUCAUCUUCCCUCUCAUCCAGUAGAACUCUAGACUUCAUUUCUUGUUUUUGUCCAUAUCCUCAUUCACAUAUUCCCCCUGACCCCCAGGUCUCCUGUACCACACACUUGGCCCCAUUCAGGAGGGCACCGUGUCUAAAAGUUCUGACCAACCACUCCCUGAACCAGAAUGCCACGGUGUGGGGUAUAGAGUAGCUUCUUCCUGUUGCUCGUUUAAUCUGGCUAUUUUAUUUAUGCAGACAAUCAUCUUGCUCCAAUAGGAAUUCAAGAAGGCUUCUAAAAAUACACAGAGAUUGUUUGGACAUUGAACCAAUGUCCUGGUGGAGAUACUGUAGCGAGGGAUUGAAAAUACAAUCUUAUACUUCUUCUUUGGGGCCUUCCCACACAGCAUCCUCUCCAGAAC